GUGCCCGUUUCGGCAGCACACGUACUGAAGUUGGAACGAUACAGGGCAGGUUAGCAUGGCCCCUGCGCAAGGAUGACAUGAAAGUUUGUAAAGUGUUCCUUUUUUUU
Small nuclear RNA from Eptesicus fuscus (big brown bat), 107 nucleotides. The record is from RefSeq and is a predicted model, not a curated record. NCBI's taxonomy places the organism in Eukaryota, Metazoa, Chordata, Mammalia, Chiroptera, Vespertilionidae.